Molecule: long non-coding RNA, 1077 nt
Filed under: Homo sapiens (human)
Lineage: Eukaryota; Metazoa; Chordata; Mammalia; Primates; Hominidae
Description: HSALNT0400899
Source: RNAcentral
GUAGCUUCCUUGUCGUGUGGCCUCAGUCCUUCGCCGUCCCUCGCCGUCCUUCGCCAUCGCACGCCACCGCACCCCAUCUCUCGAAAUCUGCAGACAUCUUGAUUUUUCCCACGCUGUCUGUCAGGUCUCCGCCGCCACUCGACGCCAGGGCGCCGGGCCUUGUGGGCUGUGCUGCACCUCGGACGGCUUCGCACCAGCCAGCGCCCUCUCUCUCCUGCAGCACUCUGAUCUGCACCCCCUGAGGGGCUUCCACUGUCCGCGGGGUGAGAAUGCCCCUGGGAGUGUCACAUGACUGCCGCCCCAUGUGUGUGAGAGGCGUCCUCUGGGAGAGCAUGGAUCCUGAGGUCCCAGGAACAUCCCGAGAGCCAAGUUCCCAGAUGCCAGCCAAGGGCCAUCUGACCUGUUUUGAAUCUCAAUUUCCUGAUACAGAAAACAAAGGAUUGUCAGCUGACCUCUGUCCUGUGUGCCCAGUGGCCCCAGGUGACGUGUCUUCAAGAAGAGGCUGAGCUGCGGUGCUUGUAAGAGUCAUGUGCUGUUCCUGGGGCUUGGAUGAUGUAGGGGAAGCAAGGUGAAAGUGGUAUCCCGUGGUUCCACGUUCUGUCCUGCUGUGGGGCUGUCCCUCACAUGCUUUCAGUGGCUGUUGCAGAGGAAGAGCCUCCGGAAAUCUGCGUGGGUCUCAGCCUUAGAUCCAAGGACAGUCCAAGGAAGUCCUAAGACCAUGGAGUUGGUGAUCUGGGAUCUGGGUUUGCUGAUAUUUCUCACCGUGAAUCUCUUGGUGGUGUUUGUGGGCACGAGAGGGGCAGAGAAUGGAGAGUGAGGCUACCACAUGAAGCGUCACCAGAGCUGCUCCCUGCUGCCUGCUCAGAGCACCCCGGAUCCACUGUUCAAUCUGCACAAGAUUCGGGGUCCAGACAUGGGAGACUUCAGCUGCCUCAGAGGACCGUGGACAGGGAAGGCCAGCCUCGCAUCCCUCUGUCCAUGCCUGGAAUGACUUUAAUAACCAAGAGUUUUAUUUUUGAAUUUGUAGCUGUCGUUCACUUUUUACCCACCCAUUCAAUAAACCUUACAGAAUUGCUC